Parelaphostrongylus tenuis is the source of this 72-nucleotide non-coding RNA. The record is from the annotation of a GenBank genome assembly. Lineage: Eukaryota; Metazoa; Nematoda; Chromadorea; Rhabditida; Metastrongylidae.
GCUUCGGUGGCGUAGUAGUAUUACGCGUCCCCUGUAUGGAUGGGACGCGGGUUCGACUCCCGUGUGAGGACG